UAACACGUAUCCAACCUGCCUCAUACUCGGGGAUAGCCUUUCGAAAGAAAGAUUAAUACCCGAUGUCAUAGUCCUACCGCAUGAUGGGAUUAUUAAAGAAUUUCGGUAUGGGAUGGGGAUGCGUUCCAUUAGUUAGUUGGCGGGGUAACGGCCCACCAAGACAACGAUGGAUAGGGGUUCUGAGAGGAAGGUCCCCCACAUUGGAACUGAGACACGGUCCAAACUCCUACGGGAGGCAGCAGUGAGGAAUAUUGGUCAAUGGACGAGAGUCUGAACCAGCCAAGUAGCGUGAAGGAUGACUGCCCUAUGGGUUGUAAACUUCUUUUAUAUGGGAAUAAAAUGUUCCACGUGUGGGAUUUUGUAUGUACCAUAUGAAUAAGGAUCGGCUAACUCCGUGCCAGCAGCCGCGGUAAUACGGAGGAUCCGAGCGUUAUCCGGAUUUAUUGGGUUUAAAGGGAGCGUAGGUGGAUUGUUAAGUCAGUUGUGAAAGUUUGCGGCUCAACCGUAAAAUUGCAGUUGAAACUGGCAGUCUUGAGUACAGUAGAGGUGGGCGGAAUUCGUGGUGUAGCGGUGAAAUGCUUAGAUAUCACGAAGAACUCCGAUUGCGAAGGCAGCUCACUGGACUGCAACUGACACUGAGGCUCGAAAGUGUGGGUAUCAAACAGGAUUAGAUACCCUGGUAGUCCACACAGU
This 693-nucleotide ribosomal RNA is filed under the name uncultured bacterium. RNAcentral's name for it is "bacterial SSU rRNA". It matches the Rfam family "Bacterial small subunit ribosomal RNA", at positions 111 to 803 of the family's 1533-position model. The record is from RNAcentral.